This 506-nucleotide unclassified non-coding RNA is filed under the name Hevea brasiliensis (rubber tree). Lineage: Eukaryota; Viridiplantae; Streptophyta; Magnoliopsida; Malpighiales; Euphorbiaceae. The record is from RNAcentral.
AACCCUGGAAAUGGGCUGUUGUUAAUUAGGUAAUACAAAGGGCACAUAUACUAAUUAAUGGGACAGGGAAGCGACACCCUAUCAAAAAACCUUGACAAUUUUGUGAUCGCAAUUUUGAAGUUAUUUCGUUUUCAUCAACUUUAAUUUGUUGCAAUUAGGUUACCUACCUUCAAUUUUAUUGCUCUCACAAUCACAAUUAACUGUUAGGACUUUAAUUAUAUUCUCAAUUUCAUGGCCAAAAAUUUUCUAACUUAGAUAACUUCUUUGAUUAAGAUGACAAAUCAAUUUCUCAUGAGAUUUUGUUCAAAAUAGGUGGAAGUACCAAAAUACAAAAAUUAAAGGUGCAUUUACUAAUUGUGGCUAAUUCAAAUUAAAUGACCAAAAUUAUAUUGACCAUUAGCAUGAUUAAUAUUAUAAAAUAACCACAUACUAAUCAAAAUAAGGUCAAGGAAACUAAGAUGAGUAAAGCAACAAUGGAUAAAAAUAAAAUAAAAUAAUAAACCAAA